RNAcentral lists this long non-coding RNA (307 nucleotides) under Brassica rapa (field mustard). RNAcentral describes it as "long non-coding RNA (BRAP_LNC004734)". Lineage: Eukaryota; Viridiplantae; Streptophyta; Magnoliopsida; Brassicales; Brassicaceae. The record is from RNAcentral.
UCACACUAUCAAGGAAAACUUCAAAGCACUCGAGCAAAAAAAUGGUUCUACCAUCAACUCUUGCCGUCCCAAAAACCUUUAAUGACCUUGAAAGAGAUUUUUUAUAACAACAAACUUUUUGUUAGGUGGAUUCAUUGUUGGGAAACCCGCAACUUUCAAAAACCAAACUUAUUCAUGGGAAUUGAAUUGCUUUUCAUAGACUCAAAGGUAUUCUUACAAAUUUAAAUUAAUCUAAUCCAUAAUUUUAUUGUUAAUAUUCGUACUAGCUCUUUCAUGAUCAAACCAUUACAGUUAAUAAUCAUUCAAG